GGAUUCCGGGUUGAUACGUCCCCCAACUUCUAGCCGAGAUCCUUCUCUCUUCACAACUGAUAACUGGAAACUCCCAUUUGUUGGGACGACGGCUGCCAACGGGAAAAUAAGGCUCGAACUUCUGCCGUCGCGCUUUGUUAGGCGAACCUGCUGUUGUGCCGGACAAUUGUGCCGGUUAACAAUUAAGAGUGACCUCGAUUCUUGAGCGGACAAAUAUACGCCGGGUAUUGCGGGAUUCUCG
RNAcentral lists this long non-coding RNA (241 nucleotides) under Brachypodium distachyon (stiff brome). RNAcentral describes it as "long non-coding RNA (BDIS_LNC000661)". The record is from RNAcentral. Lineage: Eukaryota; Viridiplantae; Streptophyta; Magnoliopsida; Poales; Poaceae.